UACGGGAGGCAGCAGUGGGGAAUAUUGCACAAUGGGCGAAAGCCUGAUGCAGCUAUGCCGCGUGUAUGAAGAAGGCCUUAGGGUUGUAAAGUACUUUCAUCGGGGAGGAAAAACAAAACUAAUAAUUUUAUUUCUUGACGUUACCCGAAAAAGAAGCACCGGCUAACUCCGUGCCAGCAGCCGCGGUAAUACGGAGGGUGCUAGCGUUAAUCAGAAUUACUGGGUGUAAAGAGCACGUAGGUGGUUUUUUUAAGUCAGAUGUGAAAUCCCUGGGCUUAACCUAGGAACUGCAUUUUGAAACUGAAAUACUAGAGUAUCGUAGAGGGAGGUAGAAUUCUAGGUGUAGCGGUGAAAUGCGUAGAUAUCUGGAGGAAUACCUGUGGCGAAAGCGGCCUCCUAAACGAAUACUGACACUGAGGUGCGAAAGCGUGGGGAGCAAACAGGGAUUAGAUACC
This 455-nucleotide ribosomal RNA is filed under the name uncultured bacterium. RNAcentral describes it as "bacterial SSU rRNA". It matches the Rfam family "Bacterial small subunit ribosomal RNA", at positions 340 to 786 of the family's 1533-position model. The record is from RNAcentral.